GACGAACGCUGGCGGCGUGCUUAACACAUGCAAGUCGAACGGUAAGGCCCUUCGGGGUACACGAGUGGCGAACGGGUGAGUAACACGUGGGUGAUCUGCCCUGCACUUCGGGAUAAGCCUGGGAAACUGGGUCUAAUACCGGAUAGGACCACUGCCUGCAUGGGUGGUGGUGGAAAGCUUUUGCGGUGUGGGAUGGGCCCGCGGCCUAUCAGCUUGUUGGUGGGGUGAUGGCCUACCAAGGCGACGACGGGUAGCCGGCCUGAGAGGGUGACCGGCCACACUGGGACUGAGAUACGGCCCAGACUCCUACGGGAGGCAGCAGUGGGGAAUAUUGCACAAUGGGCGCAAGCCUGAUGCAGCGACGCCGCGUGAGGGAUGACGGGCUUCGGUCUGUAAACCUCUUUCAGUAGGGACGAAGCGCAAGUGACGGUACCUACAGAAGAAGGACCGGCCAACUACGUGCCAGCCGCCGCGGUAA
This 478-nucleotide ribosomal RNA is filed under the name uncultured bacterium. RNAcentral describes it as "partial 16S ribosomal RNA". It matches the Rfam family "Bacterial small subunit ribosomal RNA", at positions 28 to 523 of the family's 1533-position model. The record is from RNAcentral.